CUGUUCCCAGAGAAGUAAAUAACAUGACUGGAUGGGAAUUCUAACAGUGAGGAUUAUGAAAUUACUUUAUUAAAGCUAGGCCUCUCCUAAAAAACAUUAAUAAAUGGCACCCAUUCUCGAGAACUGGCAAUGCUCAAGGAAGACUUCACGGGCCUGAACUUCACAAGAUGAGCACUUGUGAGGGCUUUAGAGACUGUGGAAGAGGUGAAACGCCAGCUCUCGCUCUCCAUGGAAGGGGGAGAUUCACACACAAAACACAAAGAGCGCUGUGAUGUGCAAUGCUUAUCAGAAUGAACACAUCUUCACAUUGCUGUAAUCCCCAGUGAGGACAGAAAAGAGAAAUCACAUUAAAUGUAUUCAGCUUUUUAAAAUGUACUGGCGUGCUUGGUGGUUAAGAGUGCUUGCUGUGGGUUCCUAGCACACACAGCAGGCAACUCACUUGUAACUGCAGUUCCAAGACAAACACCGAAAUAGACACAAUUAAAUAAAUGUAAUUUUAUAAAACAAACAAUCCCCCCCCAAAAAAACGACCAACAAAACAAAACCACCCCCAGAAAUUCUAAAGGACCAAACACAACACUAUUAUGAUAUAGUGCUGAAAUGUGCUAGAACAGAUUCUGAAUAUACACCACAAUCACAGAAAAUCUUAUUUUAAACAGCCACGGAGGGCAUUUCAUUUAAGAGGCACGUGGAAGAAAAAGAAACGAUGUGGGACCGAGCGGGAUUAAGACAAGAGUGCCAACAGCACCAAGGGAAGAAGAUUAAAAAGGAAGACGAGGGGCUGGAGAGAUGGCUCGGUAGCCGAGAGCACAGGCUGCUCUUCCCAGCACCUACACGGUGGCUCACAAUGUCUGUGACUUCAGUUCCAGGGGACUCUAGUGCUCUCUUCUGGCCUACACUGGCACUAGGAAUGCACACACGACAUAUAUGUAGGCAAAACACCCACACAUAUUUUUUAAAAAUGGCCUGAAGUCCUAGGAAUUGGGAAGCUGCACGCGGGGGGGGGGGGUGUCUGCUGUGUCUGGUACCUGUCAGUUACACAUCACAACACCCUAUUAUCUCAAGAAACCAACACCCGCCGCCGCCACCAAAAGUAAAGCACUCAGGUAAUCUAAUUAGAAGGAGUCAGUAGGGGUUGGAGUUUAGAGGUAGAGUGUUUGCCUGCUAGGUUCUGGGUCCAACCCCCAGCGCAGAGAGGGCAGGGAAUUAGAAGUCACGUGUCUUUCAGCAGGCAGAACUUAAGUCGAGCAAGAGAGGUAAAUAGUAAAUGAGAGAUGCAAGAAGCAGGAGGCGGACUACAAACAACACUGAAACACCUGCGUCACCAGAGGGGACAGCAGGUGGCUCAGGAUGAAGACGGCUGCAAAGAGCUUUGGCUUAGAAAAGAGCAGAAUGCAGAAACUGGUUCAAAUGAGCCUUGAGCCUGGGACAAGAAGUAAUUUUCAGGCUGAGGGACUGCAAUAGAGCUCAUCCCCAACUGCCCAAGAGGAGAACUGUUCUGGAAGGAAGUGACACUUCACAAGCAGAACCCCCUUCCCUUCCUCCAAGGCAUGGCCCUCCCCAACCCCAUACCCAGAUCCCAGAGGCCACAGGGAGAUGUGAGCUGAAUGACAACGGCCGCGCCUGUAAUUACUGCUCACACAUUCACAGCAUGAACUGCGCUCCCCGAGGGCCAGCGAACAGCUGACGCCACAAUCACUUCUAAGAGCUGGCUGUUAUGGAUGAGGGUCAAUGUUUUCAUGAAUAAAAUUCAGAUGUUUUAUCACUUAAGAACACAAGCUUCUUGUUAUAAACAGUUUAUGAACUGUUACGCAGUUUAUGAACACUCUUCAUAUCUUCUGGCUCUUUCUGCCGGGACGGCUCAUCGGUACUCACGCUCACUGACUCACCCUGCCCUGGGUAGUACAGGACUCCUACCGCCUUCAGGGAAGCAAGCCACGGAGAACGGAGAGGCUUGGUUGGGAGUUUCCACCAGUUACAAGCCAGUACUCUUCUAUGUUCACAGUUCUGUUUUCACACACGGAGACCUUUUCCCUUAUUAGUCUGAAGGUCCACUCUGAUCGCGCUGUACUGUUCUGCCCAGACCCUGCUAUCAGAUGCCAGGCUGUUUCUAGCAUUUCCACUGCACUGAAACCGCUCCAUGAACAGCCUGACUUGCGACUGUACUCAGGAGGCUGAGGUGGAAGGAGGGCAAACUGCAGGCAUACCUGGGCUGGAUAGUGUCUCAAAACAUUAAGGAAGAAAACUCUGACGACAUCUAAAUAGUCAAUGUCACUAGUCAAUAAGAAACGAAAAUUAGAACUGAAACGAGAGCCUGGUGUGGGUGCAGGAACAUGCAGCUGAGGCAGGGCUUCUCUGAGUUCCACGUCAACCUGAGCUAUACAGUGUGUUCCAGGCCGGCCUGGGUUACACAAUCUCAUACAACAAUAACAAUGAAAUGGAAGUGACUUAUGACACACCUGUUAGAAUGGUUAAAUAAAAAAGGGGGCCGUACCCAAUGCUGGCGAAGCUGUGGCAUCACUACAACUCUUGAUGGGGAAUAUAAGAUGGUUUAUCACAUCAGAAAACUACCUAGAUAGUUCUUACAAAUUAAACAAGAUACUUGGCAUGGUGGCUAAUGAAAUCCCAGCACUUACAAUGUUCUCUCUCUCUCUCAAAAGUAAAUAUACACCUAUGAUUUAAUAUAGUCAUUCCUUUGUGUCCACACAAAGCCUUUCACAUGUAAAGGUUCAUGGUGACUUUAUUUAUAGUAAUAACAAAGUUUGGAAUAAUGCAGAUACUAAGAUGAAUGUAUAAAACAAAACUAUAGUUCGAGGCCAGCCUGGUCUACAAGAGCUAGUUCCAGGACAGGAACCAAAAAGCUACGGAGAAACCCUGUCUCGAAAAUCAAAAAAAAAAAAAACAAA
Molecule: long non-coding RNA, 2906 nt
Organism: Alexandromys fortis (reed vole)
Lineage: Eukaryota; Metazoa; Chordata; Mammalia; Rodentia; Cricetidae
Exons: 2
Source: RefSeq, a predicted model, not a curated record